AUACGGAGGGUGCAAGCGUUGUUCGGAAUCACUGGGCGUAAAGGGCGCGCAGGCGGCCUGAUCAGUCAGAUGUGAAAGCCCACGGCUUAACUGUGGAAGUGCAUUUGAAACUGUCAGGCUUGAGUACCAGAGGGGAAAGUGGAAUUCCCGGUGUAGAGGUGAAAUUCGUAGAUAUCGGGAGGAAUACCGGUGGCGAACGGCGACUUUCUGGCUGGAUACUGACGCUGGAGGCGCGAAAGCGUGGGGAGC
RNAcentral lists this ribosomal RNA (249 nucleotides) under uncultured bacterium. RNAcentral's name for it is "partial 16S ribosomal RNA". It matches the Rfam family "Bacterial small subunit ribosomal RNA", at positions 523 to 769 of the family's 1533-position model. The record is from RNAcentral.